CCUUGAUGGGGAAGAUGAGGACCUUGAACAUGACUAAAGGCAUCAGAAGACACUCUUGGAGCUUUUAAACUGGGUACCUUCUUUCAGGUAACACUGAACUAAAGCCAGUCCAAGACUGCACCCAAUGAACACCUGUUGCUAACUGGCCACAGGACUUGAAAAGAGUUGUGGAGAACAGGAGAGGUGCCUGAGAACUAGAGGAAAGCCAAAGUCACUCCAGACUUCAAAGAGGGCAAGGAGGAGCCAGGAAACUACAGGCCAGUCGGCCUCACCUCUGCCCCCGGGAAGGUGGUGGAACAACUUAUUCUGGAUGUCAUCUCCAACUAAAAGCGGAAGAAUUCCCAUGACUCUGUGAUUGAUCUGGAAGGUUUCUUCUCCUUCUUCUGUGUAUGGAUAUCCCACACUUGCUUACAGUGAAAGAGCCUGAAGCAAUACCCUGAAGUAUUCACUGUAUCCAAGGACCAUAUUUCAGUUUGUUCAUUUGUUUUUCAAGAGCCUGAGCGUUCGAGAGAAGUAAAAUGCCAUGUAUGGUAGCAGUAUGUUCACUCACUCUUGUCAUACGUGCUUUCAAGACUCAUUUGACUUUGCUCAUUGACUCUGAACUGUGGUUACAAC
This 615-nucleotide long non-coding RNA is filed under the name Gallus gallus (chicken). The record is from RNAcentral. Lineage: Eukaryota; Metazoa; Chordata; Aves; Galliformes; Phasianidae.